Molecule: ribosomal RNA, 503 nt
Filed under: uncultured bacterium
Lineage: Bacteria
Description: partial 16S ribosomal RNA
Rfam family: Bacterial small subunit ribosomal RNA
Source: RNAcentral
AUUGAACGCUGGCGGCAUGCCUUACACAUGCAAGUCGAACGGCAGCACGGGAGCUUGCUCCUGGUGGCGAGUGGCGAACGGGUGAGUAAUACAUCGGAACGUACCCAGUAGUGGGGGAUAACGCACCGAAAGGUGCGCUAAUACCGCAUACGCCCUACGGGUGAAAGCGGGGGACCGUAAGGCCUCGCGCUAUUGGAGCGGCCGAUGUCUGAUUAGCUAGUUGGCGGGGUAAAAGCCCACCAAGGCGACGAUCAGUAGCUGGUCUGAGAGGACGAUCAGCCACACUGGGACUGAGACACGGCCCAGACUCCUACGGGAGGCAGCAGUGGGGAAUUUUGGACAAUGGGGGCAACCCUGAUCCAGCAAUGCCGCGUGUGCGAAGAAGGCCUUCGGGUUGUAAAACACUUUUGUCAGGGAAGAAAUCUUUCAGGCUAAUACCCUUGGAAGGAUGACGGUACCUGAAGAAUAAGCACCGGCUAACUACGUGCCAGCCGCCGCGGUAA